GUCUGCGUUUCUCAACUAAUAGUUUUGUCUGUAUCUAUUGUUAUGAAUUAGACCGAUUGCCAUAUAACGCAAGUUGAACUAACAGACGCAAUAAAGAAAGUUUCCGUUCCGGGAAGAAUUGGAUGCAUUAUACUUAAACGAUUAAUUUAAAGAAUGAAUGACCAUGACAGAAAUCUGUUUCGAGCGAUUCAAGUUCCCUUUGCCAAGAGGGUUGAUUCAAUUGAAAUGUUGGGGUACAUUACAUGUCUGUCAGAGCAUACAAGGGAUACUGUAAGAAAUUCUCAAACUGCUCACAAUGGCUCAAAACUCUUGGCAGCUCAGACACUGUUUGCAGCUCUAAAGUGUCGUCCAGAUGGUUUACAACAAGCUGCAAAAGCCCUUCGCAAGUGUGGUCAUGACGAUCUAGCUAAUAAGAUAGAA
This is a long non-coding RNA of Dreissena polymorpha, 420 nucleotides long. RefSeq lists it as uncharacterized. The record is from RefSeq and is a predicted model, not a curated record. Lineage: Eukaryota; Metazoa; Mollusca; Bivalvia; Myida; Dreissenidae. The transcript has 3 exons.